CUGGGGCGGCUGCUGCUGGGGUGGCUGCGGCGGCGGCUGCUGCGGGGGCUGCUGCUGCUGUUGCUGCACCGGGCGCGGCCGCGACACUCGCCUGGGUCUCCGGUUGGCGGCUCGGACGGAGUUCAUUUGCCGGGCUGAGCCCUGUCGCCGCUGCUUCUGCUGCUGCUCCGUGGCAGGAGGAGCCAUUGACACCGCCGGAGCCUCCACUAGCCCACUUCCCCCUCUACCCCAGCCUUCACCCGAUUUUGUUGAGCUGAAAAAAAAAGUGGAACGAGGGAGCCAAUCUUUGGUCCCACAAACUACAAGGAAAAGAAAAACCCUCAAGAGGAAUUACCUUUAUACCUGAUGCCCCCAACAUAAUCUCUCUCCAAGGGAAACUUGUUUUUAUUCCCUCGCUUCUGUUACGAUGACUGAAAAUGUACUCUUUCUCGAUUCUCCCCCUUCUCUCUUUUGUUUUGCAUUUUUUUGGAUGUGGUAAAACUGUCAGUUUAUCUGAUUCUCUGGUUUUCAGAACUUUCGGCAAUGUCUCUGGUUUGAGUGUCAUCAGUUGCUGUCUAGGUUUGACAUCGAUAAUUAAGCAACUACAAAGCGUGAUAAAGCUUUUGAGAGGGAGGAAAAUGUAUUUUGGAAGGAGGAAGAGACGCAAAGAGGCGAACCAUAUGUAUCUUGUAGUGUGUUGAGUCUCAGACUUGGUAGUGUGACUACAGGCAAAGUACUUCACCUUUCUAGAUGUCACAACCUCCACCUCCCCCUCCCGAGUUUAAAUAAGAACUUAUUUUAGACGGCAUGAUCCUGUUUUCAGUUUUUAAGAAUUCUGUGAUUUUGAGAUCUCUCUUUAGUCCAGAAAAAAUAGAGAAGCGUAGAUCUAUGUUUCUCAAAAAAAUAUUUUGAGGAUGACAGCUGUUACAAAACAGCUGGAGAACUCCGAAUUUUUAUGGUUGUUAGGUAGGUGCAAAUGGGUACAAUUUUAGGUUUGUUCAAAUAAACAUAGGGGAAAAGUAAAAGUACAGGAAAAUUACAUUUUACUACAAGUGUGUCCAUCAUUUCUGAUUUUUCUAAAAAUUUCCUUUUUUAUUUAACAAGUACUUAUUGGCUCCUUCUGUGUGUACAUUAAUAUGUAUGUAAGGUGUUAUGGGAAAUACUAAUAAAAGGAAAAUAUUGGGCAUAAA
Molecule: long non-coding RNA, 1169 nt
Organism: Rhinopithecus roxellana (golden snub-nosed monkey)
Lineage: Eukaryota; Metazoa; Chordata; Mammalia; Primates; Cercopithecidae
Exons: 4
Source: RefSeq, a predicted model, not a curated record